This 376-nucleotide long non-coding RNA is filed under the name Coturnix japonica (Japanese quail). RNAcentral describes it as "lncRNA (ENSCJPG00005012409.1)". Lineage: Eukaryota; Metazoa; Chordata; Aves; Galliformes; Phasianidae. The record is from RNAcentral.
CCAAACUGUCAGUAAUUUUGCUGAGAAUAGACAUCAGCGGGAGGGCUGCUCUUACACUGCGAGAGCUGGCACCGAGCUGUCAGCGGUACGAGCUGUCUGCUGGUCGCUCAGUGCUGCCUGCUUGGAAAGGGGAGCAGACAAAGGUCCAGACCUUGGCAAUGUGACAUGCAUCUCAGCUUGAAGGCCAGAUCACUGCCAUGGACCCCCAUACCCACAUGGCUGGAGCUGCUGCAGUGGGAGGAGAAGCUGGUGAACCCUGCGCUUGGCGAACAGUGUUAGCAGCAAGAACUGGCAAAGGGGAAAGCAAAGAUACAAAGUGCAGAGAGACGGGGUAACAUUUACAUGAGAAACAAUCCGCUCUCCGGCACCCACCCAC